This 513-nucleotide ribosomal RNA is filed under the name uncultured bacterium. Its description in RNAcentral is "partial 16S ribosomal RNA". It matches the Rfam family "Bacterial small subunit ribosomal RNA", at positions 28 to 507 of the family's 1533-position model. The record is from RNAcentral.
GACGAACGCUGGCGGCGUGCUUAACACAUGCAAGUCGAACGAAAAGAGGGAAAGAGCUUGCUCUUUCCGGAAUUGAGUGGCAAACGGGUGAGUAACACGUAAACAACCUGCCUUCAGGAUGGGGACAACAGACGGAAACGACUGCUAAUACCGAAUAAGUUCCAAGAGCCGCAUGGCCCAUGGAAGAAAAGGUGGCCUCUACCUGUAAGCUAUCGCCUGAAGAGGGGUUUGCGCCUGAUUAGCUGGUUGGAGGGGUAACGGCCCACCAAGGCGACGAUCAGUAGCCGGUCUGAGAGGAUGAACGGCCACACUGGAACUGAGACACGGUCCAGACUCCUACGGGAGGCAGCAGUGGGGAAUCUUCCGCAAUGGGCGAAAGCCUGACGGAGCAACGCCGCGUGAGUGAUGACGGCCUUCGGGUUGUAAAACUCUGUGAUCCGGGACGAAAAGGCAGAGUGCGAAGAACAAACUGCAUUGACGGUACCGGAAAAGCAAGCCACGGCUAACUACGUG